This is a long non-coding RNA of Ochotona curzoniae (black-lipped pika), 473 nucleotides long. RefSeq lists it as uncharacterized. NCBI's taxonomy places the organism in Eukaryota, Metazoa, Chordata, Mammalia, Lagomorpha, Ochotonidae. The transcript has 3 exons. The record is from RefSeq and is a predicted model, not a curated record.
UUUCUUUUUCCAUUGCCAGGGUCUGUUUGCUGCGAAACUCAGGACAAACGCACACAUACACACUAGCCUACAGCCUGGGGGCUCCGCCAUGUGCCCCACAGAUGUGCCUGGCAUCGGAUUGUCUGACCCUCUUAGGAUUGCACAACAAAGAGCCCUCCCUCUGGCGCAUUGGCUGGGUGUCCAUGUGACGAUAGUGCAUGGCCAGUACCCUGGACUGGACACAGACUUGGCUCAGUGAUGGAAACGGAACUUGGACCUGCGAAGACUCAGGCACUCCAGGUUGGAUUCUGUGCAGGAUUGCGCCAAACUGCUGCUUCCGGUGGCUGACUGAGGGCCUCUGCAGCAGCGGGAUGUGCAGCCUCGUCCGACUGGAGGAGUCCGUCCUUGGCUAGUGAUGCUUGGGGCUGGGAGGGUUGUAGACCCAGUCGAUGAUGAUGAGGGCCAUGCUGCCGAUCAUGAAGAUGAUGCCGGUC